CCUACGGGGGGCUGCAGUGAGGAAUAUUGGUCAAUGGACGAGAGUCUGAACCAGCCAAGUAGCGUGAAGGAUGACUGCCCUAUGGGUUGUAAACUUCUUUUAUAUGGGAAUAAAAUGUUCCACGUGUGGGAUUUUGUAUGUACCAUAUGAAUAAGGAUCGGCUAACUCCGUGCCAGCAGCCGCGGUAAUACGGAGGAUCCGAGCGUUAUCCGGAUUUAUUGGGUUUAAAGGGAGCGUAGGGGGAUUGUUAAGUCAGUUGUGAAAAUUUGCGGCUCAACCGUAAAAGUGCAGUUGAAACUGGCAGUCUUGAGUAAAGUAGAGGUAGGCGGAAUGCGUGGUGUAGCGGUGAAAUGCUUAGAUAUCACGAAGAACUCCGAUUGCGAAGGCAGCUUACUGGACUGCAACUGACACUGAGGCUCGAAAGUGUGGGUAUCAAACAGGAUUAGAUACCCUAGUAGUC
RNAcentral lists this ribosomal RNA (460 nucleotides) under uncultured bacterium. Its description in RNAcentral is "partial 16S ribosomal RNA". It matches the Rfam family "Bacterial small subunit ribosomal RNA", at positions 338 to 795 of the family's 1533-position model. The record is from RNAcentral.